This is a long non-coding RNA of Notothenia coriiceps (black rockcod), 385 nucleotides long. RefSeq lists it as uncharacterized. The transcript is spliced from 3 exons. The record is from RefSeq and is a predicted model, not a curated record. NCBI's taxonomy places the organism in Eukaryota, Metazoa, Chordata, Actinopteri, Perciformes, Nototheniidae.
UGAAGACCAGACGAGCUGCUGCAUUCUGUCUUUAUUUUGUAUGGCUUUAAGUGUGUUUUAAAUGUGUUUUGUCAUUAUUAUGGCGUGCACCAGCAUGUGGACGUGACACGUCGCUUGUGAAAGAGCUCUCCAGUGCCUCUGCGUUGCUUGGCAGAAACCUUUACAGGUCUUCUUCCUCAGACUCAGGGCUAGUGUAGUCAUUGUCAUCCGACUCCUCAAUGUCCUGCUUUAAUUGAAGAUCAUGGCAUUAGCGGCUACACCGCUGUACGCAUGUACAGCCUGUUUGUGUUGGCUUUUGAGGAAGUGCCACCUCCGACUGAGGACACUCUUGAGCCCCUGUGCAGCAUCCUCUGUCAGGUCACCGAAAUCUCUGGUUUUGAUGAGA